Molecule: non-coding RNA, 45 nt
Filed under: Schistosoma margrebowiei
Lineage: Eukaryota; Metazoa; Platyhelminthes; Trematoda; Strigeidida; Schistosomatidae
Source: RNAcentral
AUCCAGUUGACAAGUCCCAAAUAGAACGAAAUGCUUGUUCUGGAU